GAUGAACGCUGGCGGCGUGCCUAAUACAUGCAAGUCGAGCGAACGGACGAGAAGCUUGCUUCUCUGAUGUUAGCGGCGGACGGGUGUGUAACACGUGGAUAACCUACCUAUAAGACUGGGAUAACUUCGGGAAACCGUAGCUAAUACCGGAUAAUAUUUUGAACCGCAUGGUUCAAAAGUGAAAGACGGUCUUGCUGUCACUUAUAGAUGGAUCCGCGCUGCAUUAGCUAGUUGGUAAGGUAACGGCUUACCAAGGCAACGAUGCAUAGCCGACCUGAGAGGGUGAUCGGCCACACUGGAACUGAGACACGGUCCAGACUCCUACGGGAGGCAGCAGUAGGGAAUCUUCCGCAAUGGGCGAAAGCCUGACGGAGCAACGCCGCGUGAGUGAUGAAGGUCUUCGGAUCGUAAAACUCUGUUAUUAGGGAAGAACAUAUGUGUAAGUAACUGUGCACAUCUUGACGGUACCUAAUCAGAAAGCCACGGCUAACUACGUG
Molecule: ribosomal RNA, 497 nt
Filed under: uncultured bacterium
Lineage: Bacteria
Description: partial 16S ribosomal RNA
Rfam family: Bacterial small subunit ribosomal RNA
Source: RNAcentral